ACGGGUGCGUAACGCGUAUGCAACCUACCUUUAUCUGGGGGAUAGCCCGGAGAAAUCCGGAUUAAUACCGCAUAAAAUCACAGGAUGGCAUUAUCCAAUGAUCAAACAUUUAUGGGAUGAAGAUGGGCAUGCGUGUCAUUAGCUAGUUGGCGGGGUAACGGCCCACCAAGGCGACGAUGACUAGGGGAUCUGAGAGGAUGGCCCCCCACACUGGUACUGAGACACGGACCACACUCAUACGGGAGGCAGCAGUAAGGAAUAUUGGUCAAUGGAGGCAACUCUGAACCAGCCAUGCCGCGUGCAGGAAGACUGCCCUAUGGGUUGUAAACUGCUUUUAUCCGGGAAUAAACCACAUUACGUGUAAUGUGCUGAAUGUACCGGAAGAAUAAAGAUCGGCUAACUCCAUGCCAGCAGCCGCGGUAAUACGGAGGAUCCAAGCGUUAUCCGGAUUUAUUGGGUUAAAAGGGUGUGUAGGCGGCCUGUUAAGUCAGGGGUGAAAGACGGUAGCUCAACUAUCGCAGUGCCCUUGAUACUGAUGGGCUUGAAUGGACUAGAGGUAGGCGGAAUGAGACAAGUAGCGGUGAAAAUG
RNAcentral lists this ribosomal RNA (589 nucleotides) under Pedobacter sp. StRD690. RNAcentral describes it as "bacterial SSU rRNA". It matches the Rfam family "Bacterial small subunit ribosomal RNA", at positions 102 to 688 of the family's 1533-position model. The record is from RNAcentral. Lineage: Bacteria; Pseudomonadati; Bacteroidota; Sphingobacteriia; Sphingobacteriales; Sphingobacteriaceae.